RNAcentral lists this ribosomal RNA (506 nucleotides) under uncultured bacterium. RNAcentral's name for it is "partial 16S ribosomal RNA". It matches the Rfam family "Bacterial small subunit ribosomal RNA", at positions 29 to 523 of the family's 1533-position model. The record is from RNAcentral.
AGUGAACGCUGGCGGUAGGCCUAACACAUGCAAGUCGAACGGCAGCACAGGAGAGCUUGCUCCCUGGGUGGCGAGUGGCGGACGGGUGAGGAAUACAUCGGAAUCUACUCUGUCGUGGGGGAUAACGUAGGGAAACUUACGCUAAUACCGCAUACGACCUACGGGUGAAAGCAGGGGACCUUCGGGCCUUGCGCGAUUGAAUGAGCCGAUGUCGGAUUAGCUAGUUGGCGGGGUAAAGGCCCACCAAGGCGACGGUCCGUAGCUGGUCUGAGAGGAUGAUCAGCCACACGGGAACUGAGACAGGGUCCAGACUCCUACGGGAGGGAGCAGUGGGGAAUAUUGGACAAUGGGCGCAAGCCUGAUCCAGCCAUACCGCGUGGGUGAAGAAGGCCUUCGGGUUGUAAAGCCCUUUUGUUGGGAAAGAAAUCCAGCUGGCUAAUACCCGGUUGGGAUGACGGUACCCAAAGAAUAAGCACCGGCUAACUUCGUGCCAGCCGCCGCCGUAA